ACCCGGUGAACUGAAACAUCUAAGUAGCCGGAGGAAGAGAAAGAAACAUCGAUUUCCAAAGUAGCGGCGAGCGAAAUGGAAAGAGGCCAAACCGUUGUGCGUGCACAGCGGGGUUCGGACCGCAUAAUUGAUUCAGUGAUUCUAGCAGAAAGGUUUGGGAAAGCCUGCCGGAGAGGGUGAAAGCCCCGUACGUGAAAGCAGAGCUGACUGAGCAGGAUCCAGAGUACCACGAGACACGAGAAACCUUGUGGGAAUGAGCGGGGACCACCCCGUAAGCCUAAAUACUACUUAGUGACCGAUAGCGCAUAGUACUGUGAAGGAAAGGUGAAAAGGACCCCGGGAGGGGAGUGAAAGAGAACCUGAAACCCUGUGUUUACAAUCUGUGGAAGGUCUUUAUAUGAUCAACCGCGUACUUUUUGUAGAACGGUCCGGCGAGUUACGUUUACUGGCGAGGUUAAGCACUUAAGGUGCGGAGCCGAAGGGAUACCAAGUGUUAACAGCGCGUUAAGUCAGUGUACGUAGACCCGAAACCGGGUGAUCUACCCAUGUCCAGGCUGAAGUUGCCGUAAAAGGCAAUGGAGGGCCGAACGCACAUCCGUUGAAAAGGGUGGCGAUGAGGUGUGGGUAGGGGAGAAAUUCCAAUCGAACCCGGAGAUAGCUGGUUCUCCUCGAAAUAGCUUUAGGGCUAGCCUCGUAUUAGUUUAGCGGAGGUAGAGCACUGAAUUUCCGCGGGGGCGUCAAAGCUUACCAAAGAAUAUCAAACUCCGAAUGCCAUAAAGGUGAUGCACGGGAGUCAGACUGCACGAGAUAAGUUGGGUGGUCAAAAGGGAAAGAGCCCAGACCUACAGCUAAGGUCCCAAAGUGCGUGUUAAGUGGAAAAGGAUGUGGGAUUUCGAAGACAACUAGGAUGUUGGCUCAGAAGCAGCCAUACAUUCAAAGAGUGCGUAAUAGCUCACUAGUCGAGAGGUCCUGCGCCGAAAAUGUCCGGGGCUAAAACACGACACCGAAGCUUAGGAAUGUAGUAAUACAUUGGUAGAGGAGCAUUGUUAGCGCAGCGAAGCUGUACCGAUAAGGAGCAGUGGAGGGAUAAGAAGAGAGAAUGCCGGAAUGAGUAGCGAGAGGAAGGUGGGAAUCCUUCCGGCCGAAUAUCUAAGGUUUCCAGAGUAAAGCUGAUCUGCUCUGGGUAAGUCGGGGCCUAAGGAGAGGUCGAAAGACGUAUCCGAUGGACAACAGGUUUAGAUUCCUGUACCGCAUAUAAACAGAACUGUGGGGACGCAUGUGGAAAGCAUAAGCCGGGAAUGGAAAGACCGGUACAAGCGAGGUAGGUGUGUGACAGGCAAAUCCGUCAUAUAAGCCGAAGACGUGAUGUGGAGCGAAAUUAAGUAGUGAAGUAUGUGAGCCAUGUGCCGAGAAAAGCCGCUAUUGUUUUAUAUGUGCCCGUACCGUAAACCGACACAGGUGGAUGAGGAGAGAAUCCUAAGGCCGACGGAAGAAGCAUUGUUAAGGAACUCGGCAAAAUGACCCCGUAACUUCGGGAGAAGGGGUGCCCACGGGAGUGGGCCGCAGAGAAUAGGCUCAAGCAACUGUUUAGCAAAAACACAGGUCUAUGCGAAACCGAAAGGUGAAGUAUAUGGGCUGACGCCUGCCCGGUGCUGGAAGGUUAAGAGGAGAGGUUAGCGCAAGCGAAGCUUUGAAUUUAAGCCCCAGUAAACGGCGGCCGUAACUAUAACGGUCCUAAGGUAGCGAAAUUCCUUGUCGGGU
This 1761-nucleotide ribosomal RNA is filed under the name human gut metagenome. Its description in RNAcentral is "bacterial LSU rRNA". It matches the Rfam family "Bacterial large subunit ribosomal RNA", at positions 183 to 1977 of the family's 2925-position model. The record is from RNAcentral.